GCGCGAAGCUACCGUGCGCUGGAU
This 24-nucleotide non-coding RNA is filed under the name Arabidopsis thaliana (thale cress). RNAcentral also lists the same sequence under 1 other name. Lineage: Eukaryota; Viridiplantae; Streptophyta; Magnoliopsida; Brassicales; Brassicaceae. The record is from RNAcentral.